Molecule: ribosomal RNA, 694 nt
Filed under: uncultured beta proteobacterium
Lineage: Bacteria; Pseudomonadati; Pseudomonadota; Betaproteobacteria
Description: bacterial SSU rRNA
Rfam family: Bacterial small subunit ribosomal RNA
Source: RNAcentral
CGAACGGUAACAGGUCUUCGGAUGCUGACGAGUGGCGAACGGGUGAGUAAUACAUCGGAACGUGCCUAGUAGUGGGGGAUAACUACUCGAAAGAGUAGCUAAUACCGCAUGAGAUCUACGGAUGAAAGCAGGGGACCUUCGGGCCUUGUGCUACUAGAGCGGCUGAUGGCAGAUUAGGUAGUUGGUGGGGUAAAGGCUUACCAAGCCUGCGAUCUGUAGCUGGUCUGAGAGGACGACCAGCCACACUGGGACUGAGACACGGCCCAGACUCCUACGGGAGGCAGCAGUGGGGAAUUUUGGACAAUGGGCGAAAGCCUGAUCCAGCAAUGCCGCGUGCAGGAUGAAGGCCCUCGGGUUGUAAACUGCUUUUGUACGGAAUGAAAAGCCUGGGGCUAAUAUCCCCGGGUCAUGACGGUACCGUAAGAAUAAGCACCGGCUAACUACGUGCCAGCAGCCGCGGUAAUACGUAGGGUGCAAGCGUUAAUCGGAAUUACUGGGCGUAAAGCGUGCGCAGGCGGUUUUGUAAGACAGUGGUGAAAUCCCCGGGCUCAACCUGGGAACUGCCAUUGUGACUGCAAGGCUAGAGUGCGGCAGAGGGGGAUGGAAUUCCGCGUGUAGCAGUGAAAUGCGUAGAUAUGCGGAGGAACACCGAUGGCGAAGGCAAUCCCCUGGGCCUGCACUGACGCUCAUGCAC